CGACUUAUAUUCUGUAGCAAGGUUAACCGUAUAGGGGAGCCGGAGGGAAACCGAGUCUUAAUUGGGCGUUAAGUUGCAGGGUAUAGACCCGAAACCCGGUGAUCUAGCCAUGGGCAGGUUGAAGGUUGGGUAACACUAACUGGAGGACCGAACCGACUAAUGUUGAAAAAUUAGCGGAUGACCUGUGGCUGGGGGUGAAAGGCCAAUCAAACCGGGAGAUAGCUGGUUCUCCCCGAAAGCUAUUUAGGUAGCGCCUCGUGAAUUCAUCUCCGGGGGUAGAGCACUGUUUCGGCUAGGGGGCCAUCCCGGCUUACCAACCCGAUGCAAACUGCGAAUACCGGAGAAUGUUAUCACGGGAGACACACGGCGGGUGCUAACGUCCGUCGUGAAGAGGGAAACAACCCAGACCGCCAGCUAAGGUCCCAAAGUCAUGGUUAAGUGGGAAACGAUGUGGGAAGGCCCAGACAGCCAGGAUGUUGGCUUAGAAGCAGCCAUCAUUUAAAGAAAGCGUAAUAGCUCACUGGUCGAGUCGGCCUGCGCGGAAGAUGUAACGGGGCUAAACCAUGCACCGAAGCUGCGGCAGCGANNNNNUGCUGGAGGUAUCAGAAGUGCGAAUGCUGACAUAAGUAACGAUAAAGCGGGUGAAAAGCCCGCUCGCCGGAAGACCAAGGGUUCCUGUCCAACGUUAAUCGGGGCAGGGUGAGUCGACCCCUAAGGCGAGGCCGAAAGGCGUAGUCGAUGGGAAACGGGUUAAUAUUCCCGUACUUGGUGUUACUGCGAAGGGGGGACGGAGAAGGCUAUGUUGGCCGGGCGACGGUUGUCCCGGUUUAAGCGUGUAGGUGUGUGUUCCAGGUAAAUCCGGUUCACUUUAACACUGAGGCGUGACGACGAGGCACUACGGUGCUGAAGCAACAAAUGCCCUGCUUCCAGGAAAAGCCUCUAAGCAUCAGGUAACAUCAAAUCGUACCCCAAACCGACACAGGUGGUCAGGUAGAGAAUACCAAGGCGCUUGAGAGAACUCGGGUGAAGGAACUAGGCAAAAUGGUGCCGUAACUUCGGGAGAAGGCACGCUGACACGUAGGUGAAGUGAUUUACUCAUGGAGCUGAAGUCAGUCGAAGAUACCAGCUGGCUGCAACUGUUUAUUAAAAACACAGCACUGUGCAAACACGAAAGUGGACGUAUACGGUGUGACGCCUGCCCGGUGCCGGAAGGUUAAUUGAUGGGGUCAGCGCAAGCGAAGCUCCUGAUCGAAGCCCCGGUAAACGGCGGCCGUAACUAUAACGGUCCUAAGGUAGCGAAAUUCCUUGUCGGGUAAGUUCCGACCUGCACGAAUGGCGUAAUGAUGGCCAGGCUGUCUCCACCCGAGACUCAGUGAAAUUGAACUCGCUGUGAAGAUGCAGUGUACCCGCGGCAAGACGGAAAGACCCCGUGAACCUUUACUAUAGCUUGACACUGAACAUUGAGCCUUGAUGUGUAGGAUAGGUGGGAGGCUUUGAAGUGUGGACGCCAGUCUGCAUGGAGCCGACCUUGAAAUACCACCCUUUAAUGUUUGAUGUUCUAACGUGGACCCGUAAUCCGGGUUGCGGACAGUGUCUGGUGGGUAGUUUGACUGGGGCGGUCUCCUCCUAAAGAGUAACGGAGGAGCACGAAGGUUGGCUAAUCCUGGUCGGACAUCAGGAGGUUAGUGCAAUGGCAUAAGCCAGCUUGACUGCGAGCGUGACGGCGCGAGCAGGUGCGAAAGCAGGUCAUAGUGAUCCGGUGGUUCUGAAUGGAAGGGCCAUCGCUCAACGGAUAAAAGGUACUCCGGGGAUAACAGGCUGAUACCGCCCAAGAGUUCAUAUCGACGGCGGUGUUUGGCACCUCGAUGUCGGCUCAUCACAUCCUGGGGCUGAAGUAGGUCCCAAGGGUAUGGCUGUUCGCCAUUUAAAGUGGUACGCGAGCUGGGUUUAGAACGUCGUGAGACAGUUCGGUCCCUAUCUGCCGUGGGCGCUGGAGAACUGAGGGGGGCUGCUCCUAGUACGAGAGGACCGGAGUGGACGCAUCACUGGUGUUCGGGUUGUCAUGCCAAUGGCACUGCCCGGUAGCUAAAUGCGGAAGAGAUAAGUGCUGAAAGCAUCUAAGCACGAAACUUGCCCCGAGAUGAGUUCUCCCUGAGACUU
Molecule: ribosomal RNA, 2160 nt
Filed under: Salmonella enterica subsp. enterica serovar Typhimurium
Lineage: Bacteria; Pseudomonadati; Pseudomonadota; Gammaproteobacteria; Enterobacterales; Enterobacteriaceae
Description: bacterial LSU rRNA
Rfam family: Bacterial large subunit ribosomal RNA
Source: RNAcentral